GAUUGCGAUCAUGCCCCCACUAAUGCACCGGAUCCCAUCAGAAUUUCGCAGUUAAGCGUGCUUGAGCGAGCGUAGUACUAGGAUGGGUGACCCCCUGGGAAGUCCUCGUGUUGCGUCCC
RNAcentral lists this ribosomal RNA (119 nucleotides) under Helianthus annuus (common sunflower). Lineage: Eukaryota; Viridiplantae; Streptophyta; Magnoliopsida; Asterales; Asteraceae. The record is from RNAcentral.